UACGAAGGGGGCUAGCGUUGCUCGGAAUUACUGGGCGUAAAGCGCACGUAGGGGGUUUUGUAAGUCGGAUGUGAAAUCCCCGGGCUCAACCCGGGAACUGCAUUCGAGACUGCAUUACUCGAGUAUGGGAGGGGGAAGCGGAAUUUCCGGUGUAGCGGUGAAAUGCGUAGAUAUCGGAAGGAACAUCAGUGGCGAAAGCGGCUUCCUGGCCCAAUACUGACACUCAUGUGCGAAAGCGUGGGGAGCAAACAGG
RNAcentral lists this ribosomal RNA (253 nucleotides) under uncultured bacterium. Its description in RNAcentral is "partial 16S ribosomal RNA". It matches the Rfam family "Bacterial small subunit ribosomal RNA", at positions 524 to 776 of the family's 1533-position model. The record is from RNAcentral.